Lathyrus oleraceus (garden pea) is the source of this 2129-nucleotide long non-coding RNA. RefSeq lists it as uncharacterized. Lineage: Eukaryota; Viridiplantae; Streptophyta; Magnoliopsida; Fabales; Fabaceae. The record is from RefSeq and is a predicted model, not a curated record. The transcript is spliced from 2 exons.
AGGCGCUCAUGAAACGUAUCUGCGAGCGAUUAUCUCCAAGCUGAAAGAGCUUAUAUAAAGAAGCUCAUAGCAACAAUGCGAUUCGCACCUCUUCACUCUCUACAAUCGCGUUCACGACGCUUUGGUUCCAACAUGACGACAUGAUCAAGGAUUCGCGACGUUCCUCAAUCAAACAUGAUUCGUGUCGUUCAAUCACAGUUCAAAGAUUCGCAAGUCAACUCGCUUCGUGAUUAUUUGUGCGCAAACAGAAGAAAGACAGUAUUGAAAACGAAUCGAAGAACUCACCGGAUUGAAGCUCCACUUACAACCAGCUAUGAAUCUUCUCCUUCCUCCGCUUGCUUUCCAAUGCCUUCCUCUUCUUCUCCCUCUGUGCUACUAUUACGUUGAAUCGAGUGAAGUUGCGAGAUCGUGAAUUUGGGAGUUGCGAAUCGUUGUGAUGCGAAUGGUUAUUGAUGUGUUUUCUCUGCGAAUUGCCUCUUCCUCAGUUCUAUCUUCUGUUAGGGAUGGAGAAUAGAUUGAAAAAUGCUUAGAAUGAAGAGUCCUCCUUUAACUGAAUGAAGAGUGUAAUUUAUAGUGGAUUGAGUUAACAGAAUGUUAACUCUGUUAAUUGGUUCCAAUGAAAAUCUGUUGGAGGUUAAAUCACAGAGUUAGCUUGCAAUUAGAUUGGGUUAGUUAGGGAGUUAGGAUCAAUUACAGUUAGUUCAGUGCGUUCUGUUAGAAAUCGAAAUUAUUCUGGAGUUAGUUUGUUAGUGUUAGCUGUUAACUUUAGUUAAACUGUUAGUACUGUUAAGUUUUAGUGGUUCUGUUAGAAUGAGCUGGGAAGUUAGUUGGUUAGGAAUAAUGAACAACCUUGCAUUAUCUCAAUUCAAAAGCAGCUGUGAUUUCUGAAUGUGUAGUUAGGCUUGAAUGUUAAGUGAGCUGUUGCAUUGUGGUUAUGUUAAUUGGUUGAUGAAAGUUUGUGUAAUUUGAAUUGAAGAUGAUGUUAUGAAGUUAAUUCACUUUCAGUUUUUUUGUCAAAUUCAGAUAAAACCGGUUUUACCGUUUGUCAAUUGCACUGAAUGUGAAUGGUUGAAUGAAUUGCUUGCAUUGUGAAUGAAUAAAAAUGAAGUCAACUUAGCUGAACUGAAUUACUGAUUUUAAGUGGAGAUAAUUUAGAGUAUUGAUCGUGCAGAGUUUUAAUGCAGUUAUUCUUCUGUUAGAGUUAUUUGGAUGUGAAGUUAGGAAAAGAAAUAGAUCAGUUCUGUUAAGAAAAAAUGAUGCAGGUUGGAAUGAUUAUGCAGGUAACUUUCUUUUGCAGGAUGAACGAAUUUGAUCCUGGUGUUCUUCGGCAAUGCCUUAGCGAAGCGCUGGAACUUCACCGUUCUCAAUCAAGUAGUGCCAUCCUCCAUGUCAACAUCGCAGUUACCAUCGAACCGAUCUCGGUUCCCUUGGAAGCUAAAAGUGAGAUGAUUUUGGUCCUCCUUGGCUGGACCAGUACCCACCUUUCUUUCUAGAUAAUCAUGGCUUUUCAUUUUGAGUGCGGCCUUUCUCAGUAGAUUGUCAGCAUUGCCUUUGUUGGGAUUAUUAAGCUCCUUAGAAUCGGCUUAUUCUUUUUGAUAUAUUUGAAUGUUUAUUGAUUAAUGUAUGGUGAAAUGAUUUGAAAUGUUAGACUUGAAAAGUCAUUUGUCAUGCUUGUGUGAAUUGCAGAAUUUACAGUGGUGUUUGAUACAUGAUGUUGCUCCUGGUAACUGUCUGGAUGAAGCUCACCUUGCACAGAAGCCAUUAGCAUAUAAGGUGGAAUAUUACUGAGCAGAACACUACACAAGUAUGAAGCAAAACACCAGGCUAUUCACUAUUACUGAACAACUUUCAUCUGCAAGCAAUAAUUAAACACUUUCUGCAGGUAAUCCACCACAAGCAGCUAGUGAAGUCAUGGGCGGUGGUGAGAAUGAAAGAGGAAAGAAGGGUAAUUUGGGGCUUAGGGACGGUAGCAUGAUAUGUAUUUGGAUUGCGGUGUGUAUUGCAUUUGUGUAAAUGGUUGUAAUUUUUUGUAAUUUUUGAAUGGAAAUUGGUUUAAAUGGUAUGUAUAGAAAUUGGUGAAUGUAAUGUUGGAAACUGGUUUAAAUUUUGUUUGAAUUGAAAUUGUGUAA